GUUCCGGUAGCUCAGGGGUAGAUGCGACAGAUUGCAACUCGCAAACAUCUGUAGGUCGCGAGUUCAAAUCUCGCCCGGAACU
Molecule: transfer RNA, 82 nt
Filed under: Malassezia sympodialis ATCC 42132
Lineage: Eukaryota; Fungi; Basidiomycota; Malasseziomycetes; Malasseziales; Malasseziaceae
Rfam family: tRNA
About the family: Transfer RNA (tRNA) molecules are approximately 80 nucleotides in length. Their secondary structure includes four short double-helical elements and three loops (D, anti-codon, and T loops).
Source: Rfam by way of RNAcentral